Molecule: long non-coding RNA, 1104 nt
Filed under: Dendronephthya gigantea
Lineage: Eukaryota; Metazoa; Cnidaria; Anthozoa; Malacalcyonacea; Nephtheidae
Description: uncharacterized LOC114525309, transcript variant X2
Source: RNAcentral
UUUAUCUCUGGGCUUGGGGAAGGACAGCUGGCCUGAGGAAAGAAAAAAUGUUUUCGUAAGUUCAGUAACACAGCAAUCUCAUCGGGAUCUAAUGACUAAGAGCUCGACUAAGAGUGUCCUAUAUUCAUUGCCUUCGCUUCCUAUGAAGAUUCCCACUGUUCACGCUGUCUUUCACCUGUCUUCAACACAGUUACAGCUAAUAUGGGUUCUCUUAACGUGCUUUUUUAUCAAAAGAUAGAAUUAUUGAUUUGGAUACAAAAGAAGAUUGGACCUUCAUAACGUUUGUCUUGCUUUAAUUUCACUAAAUCCUCAGUGGACGGAAUGAAUAUCACUGCAUUCUCCUCCGGACAGCCUUUUAUUGGUUGUAAUGUAAGACAGACUAACGAACGAGGGUUGUUUGAGGCUGAAUGUGAUUUCUUGAAGACGUCGACGCGCGGAAAACGACCGGAUAACAUGAAGUGUUUCAACACCAGUCUUCUCGCAACUAUCAGACAACCAUGGUUUGGUGUCUAUAUAUUCAGUUGGUUCUUCAAGAUUGCAAGCAUGUACAAUUUCCUUUACAACCUCAUCUGAACAUGAUGGAUGUGACCACAGCCAAAGUCUUGUUACCAUGUCUGGCACAGGAUUGACCUCGAAAGAGAGAAUGGAUGGAUAUAUAAUUUCAGUUGUGAUUUACGUAAAUGCAGUCAACUCUAUGAAGAUUACCUGCUGUUCCCAGAGACACAUGACUGGACCAAUUGCCUGGUAUGGAUAUCUGUCAUAUUUAUACAGCAUCGUUUCAGAUUCAUAUUUACCAUCUAAGUACUCCUUGCCAACCACUGUCAAACCUUACAAGAAAAUGAACCAGCUUUGAUGGUACAGUUCUGAAUACAACCACAUGAUGCAUGUACUCUUAUAAAAAUGCAGUGCAUUGAUAAUAAGAAAUAUCCUGAAAGGCAGAGAACAACCCACUUGCUAAAUCUUUAUUUUUGGAGGGAUGGAGUUAUCCAGCUGUCAGUGGCUUACUUAUUUAUACCUGCAAUAAGCAACCAUUCGCCAUAGCACGGUAAGAAGCUCUCACACUUUUAUCAUUUGGGUGGCAAGGUAUCUUGUAACCCCAUUGUU